CAGAGUAGAUCUGCGAGCGUUAAGUUCUGCACGGACGGGGAGUUGCCGCGCAGCCGAAAAGUCAUUGCGAUUCGCAGGUCGCAUCCCGCUGU
Molecule: non-coding RNA, 92 nt
Filed under: bovine gut metagenome
Description: THF riboswitch
Rfam family: THF (Tetrahydrofolate) riboswitch aptamer
About the family: THF riboswitch presents a pseudoknot that joins P1-P2 and the loop of P3 and two THF binding.
Source: RNAcentral